Molecule: microRNA, 23 nt
Filed under: Xenoturbella bocki
Lineage: Eukaryota; Metazoa; Xenacoelomorpha; Xenoturbellidae
Description: Xbo-Mir-96-P1_5p (mature (guide))
Source: RNAcentral
UUUGGCACUAGCACAUAAUUGCU